UGGACAGGAAAGGAUUGGUUGACAUGUUUUAUGAGACGUCACCGUUUAUCCUGCCGAUCGCCAAAAGCCACAUCAAUAGGCAGACAAACAGCCUUCAACAAGCACACUGUAGGAGAGUUUUCUGACAACCUCACCUCAGUAAUGGAAAGAUUUAAAUUCCCACCCAACAUGAUCUACAAUCUGGACAGGCAUCACUGAGACGCAGAAGCCCAAGCUUGUAGUCACCCAGAGGGGGAAGAAGCAAGUUGGUUCAGUGACAUCUAAAGAAAGAGGGGAGCUCAUCACCCUGAUAUGUGCAGUGAAUGCCAUUCCACCAUUAUUCAUCUUCCCUCGUGUGCGCUACCGUGAUCAUUUUAUCAGAGGUUCUCCCAUUGGUUCAAUAGGCUGUUCCACAAAGUCUGGUUGGACAAAUCAAGAUAUAUUUGUCCAAUUUCUCAAGCACAUUAUCAGUCACACCAACUGCUCUCCAAGUGCAAUGCAAUCCCAUGUGGCACUGGAGGCUGUCAAUGUGGCAAAGGCGAAUGGGGUAGUGAUGUUAACCCUCCCUCCCCACACCUCACAUGAACUCCCACCGCUCGACAAAUCCGUCUUUGGCCCACUGAAGACGUAUUACAACACUGCGGUCGAUGGAUGGAUGAGAUCAAACCCUGGGAAGGUCAACACCAUCUAUGACAUCCCAGGGAUGGUUAUGACGCUUCAUGUCCGCAAUGACGCGGCAAAAUAUCUUGUCAGGCUUCCAUGCGACUGGAAUCUUCCCUUAUAAUAGGGAAACAUUUACGGAUGCUGAUUUUGAGUCAGCUGAGGUCACAAACCGACCCAACCCAGAGGAGCUAGCGACACCUGCGGACCCAUACCAGGAGCCAGCUACAUCUGUGGACCCCAACCAGGAGCCAGCUACAUCUGUGGCCCCCAAUCAGGAGCCAGCUACAUCUUUGGGCCCUAACCUAGAGGAACUACCACCUGCACCUGGAACUCCCCUUUCAGUCCAGUCACCCUCUGAAACUAAUUCUGGUGACCAUUCCGGGGGAUAUAGGUCUCCUGAGACUAUCAUCCCGCUGCCAAAAGCAGCACAAAGAAAAGUAAAACAAAGAAGAAGGAAGAGGGUUAAAACAAGGAUUCUGACAGACACCCCAGAAAAAGACGAGUUGGAAAGAGUAGUGAAAGAAAGAGAAAAGAAGAAAGCAAAAGUCUGCAAGAAAUUCCUGUGUGUGUGAAAAUUCCUGAAGAAAGCAGCUCUGAUGACAACACAGGCAUGUUGUUAGAUGACAGCCCUGACAGCCCUAGCCUUACUUCUGACGAAGAGGACCAAACAUUGAAAGCCGGGGAUUAUGUGGUUGACAGAUUUGCAGGGAAGAAAAGAACCCACUACUACAUUGGUCAGGUGGUAAAACUGGAUGAUUGUGAGGUGGAAGCAAGGUUCCUUCCAAGAACCCGCUCAACCCACGGGUCUAACAGGAGACCAACCUUUGUCUUCAACGAAAAAGAUGAGGCUGUCCUGCCACGACAAGAUGUGGUGAAGAAACUGCCCCAACACAGAUAAUUAAUUCACAUAUCAAAUAUCAAUAAAAGAUUCAAUUAAUGAAUCUGUUCACUGGAGACAGCAGUAAAGUCUAUUUUGAAAAUAUAAAUUUAAUGUUUAACCCAAUUACUCUUAGUCUUUGAAAAAUGGUGCCCUUUAGAAAACUCCUAUUUAUCCCUUCUGUAUUCCACUGGUUUACUGUUAUUGUGAGUUUUACAGUUUAUUUGCACAAUAACAAAUCUCAAGUUAAAUGCCGUUAACAAGAGCAGGUACAGGUUUCUGCUGUUCUGUGAUUGAAGAAUCUUUGAAAAAAAGUGUGUGUAUGUGAACUGUUACAUUUUGACCAAUGUGAGUUUGCGUGUUGCCUUGUAUGGGAGCACUGGUGUAAAGUAUCUAAGUUCAUUUACUCAAGUACUGUGAUUUUUGACGCAUAACGUAUAUUAUAACUUUUGCUACUUUAAGUAUAUUUUGAAGCCAAUAUUUUCGUACUUUUAAUAGAUUAAUAUUUUGAUUCCAAUAUUUUUACUCCUAACAGAGUAUCCAUGGUCUUCAAAGAUUCAAAAUUAUUUUUGUAGCAGACGUAUUUGUAUUGGUUCUGGUUUUAUUUAAUGCAACUAUUCAGAAUUCAUGUACAGCUCAUGUUCCAUUGUCAUUGUGCAUUGUCUGACCCAGUCAUUGUGAUGGUCCAUCUUAUUGGUCAGAUUUUCUUUAGAGAUAUGGAUGUUGCUAGUAGAUACAUUGCUGUCCAGAUAUGCCAAAUAUUUUUGUAAGGUCUGUCAGGUGCCUCUCAUGUUUGUCCACUAGAGGACGCUACAAUGUUAACUUUACUCUGUAAAAUGUCCUGCUAUAGACUCUAAAUAUACCAUAAAGGUCACAAUCCAUUAAAAUAAAUAACUAAAAGGCAA
Long non-coding RNA from Eleginops maclovinus (Patagonian blennie), 2424 nucleotides. RefSeq lists it as uncharacterized. The record is from RefSeq and is a predicted model, not a curated record. The transcript is spliced from 2 exons. NCBI's taxonomy places the organism in Eukaryota, Metazoa, Chordata, Actinopteri, Perciformes, Eleginopidae.